RNAcentral lists this long non-coding RNA (512 nucleotides) under Mytilus galloprovincialis (Mediterranean mussel). The record is from RNAcentral. Lineage: Eukaryota; Metazoa; Mollusca; Bivalvia; Mytilida; Mytilidae.
GUCCAGCUGAAAAAGGUUUAAAAUUAGCACUUCGGAAGCUGUCAAAAGAUUUAAGACGCCCUAAACAUAAAAUUGUCCAUAUUUUGAGUUAGAGCCGAUGAAGUUUUCUAUAAUUUUUAUAUAAUUUGUCCCAAAAGUAGUACAACACACUGUAAAAGUUUCUUUGAGAAAGCGCAGGUGGGAUUUUUUUUUAUUUUCAUUUAUGUUCUAAAAGAAAUACACUACGAAAUAAUUGUGGUCUCGGACCAUAACUCAAGAACUGUAAAAGUGAAGCUGCCAAAAACUGAACUUGAACUGAGUUUAGAGGUAAUAAGCAUUGUAUACACAUUUCAUUAAAUUUAGUUGAGACAAACUUAAGUUAAGAGAACAGAAACGAAAAAAAUCUUCAAUUUUUCCACUUGUAAAGGGGCAUAACCCUAGAAUGGUAAUCAAAGUGCUUGUAAUCACUGAAUGGUAAAGAUUGUUUUAAUUUAUUAGUUGGUAGUAAAAGUGAAUAUUGCAUUGUAUAUUGC